RNAcentral lists this ribosomal RNA (592 nucleotides) under Escherichia coli. RNAcentral's name for it is "bacterial SSU rRNA". It matches the Rfam family "Bacterial small subunit ribosomal RNA", at positions 860 to 1452 of the family's 1533-position model. Lineage: Bacteria; Pseudomonadati; Pseudomonadota; Gammaproteobacteria; Enterobacterales; Enterobacteriaceae. The record is from RNAcentral. RNAcentral also lists the same sequence under 1 other name.
UUAAGUCGACCGCCUGGGGAGUACGGCCGCAAGGUUAAAACUCAAAUGAAUUGACGGGGGCCCGCACAAGCGGUGGAGCAUGUGGUUUAAUUCGAUGCAACGCGAAGAACCUUACCUGGUCUUGACAUCCACGGAAGUUUUCAGAGAUGAGAAUGUGCCUUCGGGAACCGUGAGACAGGUGCUGCAUGGCUGUCGUCAGCUCGUGUUGUGAAAUGUUGGGUUAAGUCCCGCAACGAGCGCAACCCUUAUCCUUUGUUGCCAGCGGUCCGGCCGGGAACUCAAAGGAGACUGCCAGUGAUAAACUGGAGGAAGGUGGGGAUGACGUCAAGUCAUCAUGGCCCUUACGACCAGGGCUACACACGUGCUACAAUGGCGCAUACAAAGAGAAGCGACCUCGCGAGAGCAAGCGGACCUCAUAAAGUGCGUCGUAGUCCGGAUUGGAGUCUGCAACUCGACUCCAUGAAGUCGGAAUCGCUAGUAAUCGUGGAUCAGAAUGCCACGGUGAAUACGUUCCCGGGCCUUGUACACACCGCCCGUCACACCAUGGGAGUGGGUUGCAAAAGAAGUAGGUAGCUUAACCUUCGGGAGGGCG